AUUGAACGCUGGCGGCAUGCUUUACACAUGCAAGUCGAACGGCAGCACGGGCUUCGGCCUGGUGGCGAGUGGCGAACGGGUGAGUAAUAUAUCGGAACGUACCCAGAAGUGGGGGACAACGUAGCGAAAGUUACGCUAAUACCGCAUACGAUCUAUGGAUGAAAGCAGGGGACCGCAAGGCCUUGUGCUCCUGGAGCGGCCGAUAUCUGAUUAGCUAGUUGGUGAGGUAAAGGCUCACCAAGGCGACGAUCAGUAGCUGGUCUGAGAGGACGACCAGCCACACUGGAACUGAGACACGGUCCAGACUCCUACGGGAGGCAGCAGUGGGGAAUUUUGGACAAUGGGCGCAAGCCUGAUCCAGCAAUGCCGCGUGAGUGAAGAAGGCCUUCGGGUUGUAAAGCUCUUUUGUCAGGGAAGAAACGGUAGAGGCUAAUAUCCUGUGCUAAUGACGGUACCUGAAGAAUAAGCACCGGCUAACUACGUG
This 484-nucleotide ribosomal RNA is filed under the name uncultured bacterium. RNAcentral describes it as "partial 16S ribosomal RNA". It matches the Rfam family "Bacterial small subunit ribosomal RNA", at positions 30 to 507 of the family's 1533-position model. The record is from RNAcentral.